RNAcentral lists this ribosomal RNA (517 nucleotides) under uncultured Gammaproteobacteria bacterium. RNAcentral describes it as "bacterial SSU rRNA". It matches the Rfam family "Bacterial small subunit ribosomal RNA", at positions 1 to 516 of the family's 1533-position model. Lineage: Bacteria; Pseudomonadati; Pseudomonadota; Gammaproteobacteria. The record is from RNAcentral.
UGAGUUUGAUCAUGGCUCANNUUGAACGCUGGCGGCAGGCCUAACACAUGCAAGUCGGGCGGUAACAGGAAUAGCUUGCUAUUUGCUGACGAGCGGCGGACGGGUGAGUAAUGCAUAGGAAUCUGCCUGGUAGUGGGGGAUAGCCCAGAGAAAUUUGGAUUAAUACCGCAUACGCCCUACGGGGGAAAGCAGGGGAUCUUCGGACCUUGCGCUAUCAGAUGAGCCUAUGUCGGAUUAGCUUGUUGGUGAGGUAACGGCUCACCAAGGCGACGAUCCGUAGCUGGUCUGAGAGGAUGAUCAGCCACACUGGGACUGAGACACGGCCCAGACUCCUACGGGAGGCAGCAGUGGGGAAUAUUGGACAAUGGGCGCAAGCCUGAUCCAGCCAUGCCGCGUGUGUGAAGAAGGCCUUCGGGUUGUAAAGCACUUUCAGCGAGGAGGAAAGGGGAGUUGCUAAUAUCAACGCCCUGUGACGUUACUCGCNGAAGAAGCACCGGCUAACUCCGUGCCAGCAGCC